AUUUAAUGAUUUUUUGGGUAUGUAGUAUUUGCUCUUUUGAGUUUAAUAUAUAAUAUAAUACAUGGACCAUCUGCCCACAUUAUAUUAAAUUUAUUUUUUGUUAGGGGGAAGGCCUACUUACGGUAGCUUGCUGCUUACUUGGGCUUUUGAGCGUCGUCUGGGCUUCGCACUACUGCCUCGGCCUGGUGCACCCAAA
This is a small nuclear RNA of Camellia sinensis, 196 nucleotides long. RefSeq annotates it as U2 spliceosomal RNA. NCBI's taxonomy places the organism in Eukaryota, Viridiplantae, Streptophyta, Magnoliopsida, Ericales, Theaceae. The record is from RefSeq and is a predicted model, not a curated record.